AAAAGUAUAAAAAAAUAGUAUGUUUGCUUUGGGCUGAUAAUGGGAAAUAUAUUUAUGUAAAAUUUUAAUGGUAAAAAAUUAAAUUUCUUUAAAAUGUCAGACAAUAAUACUAUGCAAAAUGUGAUAUAGAAGAAGCACUUUUUAUUUUUAUUUCUCAGGGUUUUUACCUUAAAUAACUAAUUACUGGCCAUAUUUGGGAAGUGUUGAAAAAAAGCAGACAAUCUGAGGAUGAUGUUGACUUGGGGAUCCAAAGGCACAGUACACAUCUUUGUAAUGUUCUGUGAUGAAAUAGAAGGAAGUGUGUGUAAAUAAUUCUGCUGCACGCUGAACACAAAGGGUGCUUCAAGGAGAAGCUUUAUGUUUAUCACCUUGUCUUUACCUCCACUACAAACGUGUCAAUAAUGUGCUCCCGGGGGAGGAACCAGUGGGCUACUUCCUCUUCAUCCAUCACUGGAGCCAGAUGAAACUGCUUCAGGUAAGUGUUGAUUAAUUCUCGAACUGAUUUGAUAUCUUUUGGUUCCAUUGGUCUCAAACCUGAAGUCUUUGUAACCUUGUUGGAGGGGAAACAAAACAAAUCCAGAAGUUCAGGUAGAAGAGGAGUGAAAC
Homo sapiens (human) is the source of this 606-nucleotide long non-coding RNA. RefSeq lists it as uncharacterized. The transcript has 2 exons. The record is from RefSeq and is a predicted model, not a curated record. NCBI's taxonomy places the organism in Eukaryota, Metazoa, Chordata, Mammalia, Primates, Hominidae.